UUAAACUGAAGAGUUUGAUCAUGGCUCAGAUUGAACGCUGGCGGCAGGCCUAACACAUGCAAGUCGAACGCGAAAGUGACUUCGGUCGCGAGUAGAGUGGCGGAC
Molecule: ribosomal RNA, 105 nt
Filed under: Exilibacterium tricleocarpae
Lineage: Bacteria; Pseudomonadati; Pseudomonadota; Gammaproteobacteria; Cellvibrionales; Cellvibrionaceae
Description: Cellvibrionaceae bacterium R142 partial 16S ribosomal RNA
Rfam family: Bacterial small subunit ribosomal RNA
Source: RNAcentral